UCCGAAGACCGGAGGUUAGACCCCUCCCUAGUGCUG
Molecule: transfer RNA, 36 nt
Filed under: Pygopristis denticulata (lobetoothed piranha)
Lineage: Eukaryota; Metazoa; Chordata; Actinopteri; Characiformes; Serrasalmidae
Description: partial tRNA-Thr
Source: RNAcentral